Molecule: ribosomal RNA, 468 nt
Filed under: uncultured bacterium
Lineage: Bacteria
Description: partial 16S ribosomal RNA
Rfam family: Bacterial small subunit ribosomal RNA
Source: RNAcentral
GACGAACGCUGGCGGCGUGCUUAACACAUGCAAGUCGAACGGAAAGGCCCUGCUUUUGUGGGGUGCUCGAGUGGCGAACGGGUGAGUAACACGUGAGUAACCUGCCCUUGACUUUGGGAUAACUUCAGGAAACUGGGGCUAAUACCGGAUAGGAGCUCCUGCUGCAUGGUGGGGGUUGGAAAGUUUCGGCCGUUGGGGAUGGACUCGCGGCUUAUCAGCUUGUUGGGGGGGUAGUGGCUUACCAAGGCUUUGACGGGUAGCCGGCCUGAGAGGGUGACCGGCCACCUUGGGACUGAGAUACGGCCCAGACUCCUACGGGAGGCAGCAGUGGGGAAUAUUGCGCAAUGGGCGGGAGCCUGAUGCAGCAACGCCGCGUGCGGGAUGACGGCCUUCGGGUUGUAAACCGCUUUCGCCUGUGACGAAGCGUGAGUGACGGUAAUGGGUAAAGAAGCACCGGCUAACUACGUG